This 73-nucleotide transfer RNA is filed under the name Phycisphaerae bacterium. RNAcentral describes it as "tRNA-Gly". It matches the Rfam family "tRNA". From Rfam's summary of the family: Transfer RNA (tRNA) molecules are approximately 80 nucleotides in length. Their secondary structure includes four short double-helical elements and three loops (D, anti-codon, and T loops). The record is from RNAcentral. RNAcentral also lists the same sequence under 1 other name. Lineage: Bacteria; Pseudomonadati; Planctomycetota; Phycisphaerae.
GCGGGCGUAACUCAAUUGAUAGAGUGUCAGCCUUCCAAGCUGAAUGUUGAGGGUUUGAAUCCCUUCGCCCGCU